Molecule: long non-coding RNA, 152 nt
Organism: Vidua chalybeata
Lineage: Eukaryota; Metazoa; Chordata; Aves; Passeriformes; Viduidae
Exons: 4
Source: RefSeq, a predicted model, not a curated record
GAGAACGGGACUCCGUUAUCGGGAAACUGAGGGAGGAGCUCGAGGCGCUGAAGGAGGAGGACGUUGGUGAAAUCCGCGAGGAAAUGGAGGAAGAGGAGGAGGAAGAGGAAGAAGAGGAAGAAGAGGAGGAAGAGGAAGAGGAAGAAGAGGAG